This 26-nucleotide non-coding RNA is filed under the name Mus musculus (house mouse). The record is from RNAcentral. Lineage: Eukaryota; Metazoa; Chordata; Mammalia; Rodentia; Muridae.
UCGCAGCACCGUGUCCCCCUUAGGGG